GGGGUUGUGGCUCACUGGUAGAGCGCUCGCCUGGCACGUGUGAGGCCCUGAGUUCCAUUCUCAGUACCACA
This 71-nucleotide transfer RNA is filed under the name Marmota monax (woodchuck). Its description in RNAcentral is "tRNA.Ala". It matches the Rfam family "tRNA". From Rfam's summary of the family: Transfer RNA (tRNA) molecules are approximately 80 nucleotides in length. Their secondary structure includes four short double-helical elements and three loops (D, anti-codon, and T loops). The record is from RNAcentral. Lineage: Eukaryota; Metazoa; Chordata; Mammalia; Rodentia; Sciuridae.